Molecule: ribosomal RNA, 460 nt
Filed under: uncultured bacterium
Lineage: Bacteria
Description: partial 16S ribosomal RNA
Rfam family: Bacterial small subunit ribosomal RNA
Source: RNAcentral
CCUACGGGUGGCAGCAGUGAGGAAUAUUGGUCAAUGGUCGCGAGCCUGAACCAGCCAAGCCGCGUGAAGGAUGACUGCCCUACGGGUUGUAAACUUCUUUUAUAAAGGAAUAAAGUCAGGCACGUGUGCCUUUCUGAAUGUACUUUAUGAAUAAGGAUCGGCUAACUCCGUGCCAGCAGCCGCGGUAAUACGGAGGAUUCGAGCGUUAUCCGGAUUUAUUGGGUUUAAAGGGUGCGUAGAUGGGUUGUUAAGUCAGUUGUGAAAGUUCGCGGCUCAACCGUAGAAUUGCCAUUGAUACUGGCAGUCUUGAGUACAGUUGAGGUAGGCGGAAUGCGUGGUGUAGCGGUGAAAUGCUUAGAUAUCACGAAGAACUCCGAUUGCGAAGGCAGCUUACCAAGCUGCCACUGACGUUGAGGCACGAAAGCGUGGGUAUCAAACAGGAUUAGAUACCCGUGUAGUC